AGAGUUUGAUCCUGGCUCAGAGUGAACGCUGGCGGCAGGCCUAACACAUGCAAGUCGAACGGCAGCACAGCAGUAGCAAUACUGUGGGUGGCGAGUGGCGGACGGGUGAGGAAUGCGUCGGAAUCUGCCUAUUUGUGGGGGAUAACGCAGGGAAACUUACGCUAAUACCGCAUACGACCUACGGGUGAAAGUGGGGGACCUUCGGGCCUCACGCAGAAAGAUGAGCCGACGCCGGAUUAGCUAGUUGGCGGGGUAAAGGCCCACCAAGGCGACGAUCCGUAGCUGGUCUGAGAGGAUGAUCAGCCACACUGGGACUGAGACACGGCCCAGACUCCUACGGGAGGCAGCAGUGGGGAAUAUUGGACAAUGGGCGCAAGCCUGAUCCAGCCAUGCCGCGUGUGUGAAGAAGGCCUUCGGGUUGUAAAGCACUUUUGUCCGGAAAGAAAAGCUUCGGGUUAAUAACCUGGAGUCAUGACGGUACCGG
This 484-nucleotide ribosomal RNA is filed under the name uncultured bacterium. Its description in RNAcentral is "bacterial SSU rRNA". It matches the Rfam family "Bacterial small subunit ribosomal RNA", at positions 8 to 481 of the family's 1533-position model. The record is from RNAcentral.